This 79-nucleotide transfer RNA is filed under the name Erwinia phage vB_EamM_Stratton. RNAcentral describes it as "tRNA-Asn". It matches the Rfam family "tRNA". From Rfam's summary of the family: Transfer RNA (tRNA) molecules are approximately 80 nucleotides in length. Their secondary structure includes four short double-helical elements and three loops (D, anti-codon, and T loops). Further hydrogen bonds mediate the characteristic L-shaped molecular structure. tRNAs have two regions of fundamental functional importance: the anti-codon, which is responsible for specific mRNA codon recognition, and the 3' end, to which the tRNAs corresponding amino acid is attached (by aminoacyl-tRNA synthetases). tRNAs cope with the degeneracy of the genetic code in two manners: having more than one tRNA (with a specific anti-codon) for a particular amino acid; and 'wobble' base-pairing, i.e. permitting non-standard base-pairing at the 3rd anti-codon position. Lineage: Duplodnaviria; Heunggongvirae; Uroviricota; Caudoviricetes; Chimalliviridae. The record is from RNAcentral.
UGGUUCCAUAGCUCAGUUGGUUAGAGCGGCUGCCUGUUAAGCAGUAGGUCCCUGGUUCGAGUCCAGGUGGUACCGCCAC